RNAcentral lists this long non-coding RNA (247 nucleotides) under Panax ginseng (ginseng). Its description in RNAcentral is "long non-coding RNA (PGIN_LNC017902)". Lineage: Eukaryota; Viridiplantae; Streptophyta; Magnoliopsida; Apiales; Araliaceae. The record is from RNAcentral.
GUUCUUCUGUGUAUGAUUUGUCAUGUUGUCUGUCUCGUUGUUGUUCAAUAAUUUCCAUUACAAGUUGAUCAGCAUAUUGCGUUCCAAAUUGGCAUGAUUGGCUUGCUAGUGGAACUAGUGUUGAAUUCCCUUGUGUUGAUCUGAUUGGCAUUACAUCGUGAAUUGUAGAUUCUUCUACAUUUGUCAAGUUAUGCAAGAUCGUUGUGCGUCCCAUUAUGUGUUCAAUAUCCACAAUCAGUGGGAAUUU